UGUGGAAUCAGGUGUCGAACCUAGAACCCUCCGCGUCCGAGGCCGAUACCUUAUCACUAGGCCUCCGC
Non-coding RNA from Araneus ventricosus, 68 nucleotides. The record is from the annotation of a GenBank genome assembly. Lineage: Eukaryota; Metazoa; Arthropoda; Arachnida; Araneae; Araneidae.